AAGUAGAUUUUUUAAGAUAGAUUUUUUUUUAAUAGGAUAGAUUAGAGUCGAGUCCAACGCGCAGCAAGGCUGGAAUUUGUUUUUUGAAUAAUGGUGUACAAUAAAAUAUAGAUACUUAUUGAAGCAUAUAUUAAGGAUUAUCUAUAUAAACAUUUUAUCAUAAUAAUUUGUAUAGACGUACACAUAUAGGUGUAUAAAAGCUUGAACCCAUCGACAAGCUUCUUCACAAAAACCCAAAACCUUAAGACACUUGUUUAAUAAAAAGAUGGGUUUCAACUUCAUCUCUCUCCUUUUUCUUCCACUUCUAUCAGUGUUUAUCUUGUCGGGAUCCAAGCAAGCCUUUGCUUCGGACAAUACACUCCUCGUGAACACCGACCACCGCAACAGCACGGCGCAAGGUGGGUUGUCGUCACUGAGGGGGAAGAAGCAGAGGAGUGGAUGUAACCUUCCCAUCGACAAGCUUCUUCACAAAAACCCAAAACCUUAAGACACUUGUUUAAUAAAAAGAUGGGUUUCAACUUCAUCUCUCUCCUUUUUCUUCCACUUCUAUCAGUGUUUAUCUUGUCGGGAUCCAAGCAAGCCUUUGCUUCGGACAAUACACUCCUCGUGAACACCGACCACCGCAACAGCACGGCGCAAGGUGGGUUGUCGUCACUGAGGGGGAAGAAGCAGAGGAGUGGAUGUAACCUGUUCCAAGGCCGAUGGGUUUUUGAUGCUUCUUACCCUUUCUAUGAUACAUCCUCGUGUCCUUUCAUCGACGGCGAGUUUAACUGUGGCAAGCGACCUGACAAACAGUUCCUCAAGUACUCAUGGCAACCUGCAUCUUGCAGCAUCCCAAGGUUUCUACUUAACUAUGCACUUUUAGUUUUGUAUAUGUCCAACGUUUUAAACGAAACCUUAAAAUUGAGCUAAACACUCUACUUUACAAGAAUUUGAUUGGUGGGUAUUUCUAUAAUCUCAUUACAUGCACAGUCUAGAACAUUUUUUCUAGUUACCACAAUUUUUUUUUGCUAAAAUUUUACAAUUGUAAUCAACGUAAUCUUCUAUGUACGUUAUAUAUUGUAUAAUAAUUAGAAGUUGGUGUUGUAUAGCAUUUCAUUGAAGAUCUUUUAUAUUCUGUUUAGAAAUGAAAAAGAAGUAUUUUUAUCUUAAAAGUGAUUAAGUGGAGUAUUUUUGCAAGAAUAGUGUAAAGUGACAACGAGAUGUAAUAGGAAAAUGUAAACGCAUGAUGAUUAACAUUAAUUACUUAUGUUUUUGGUUAAUUACGUGAUUAGGUUCGACGGUGCGGCGUUUCUGAGGAGAUGGAGAGGGAAGCGAGUCAUGUUCGUGGGAGACUCACUGAGUCUUAACAUGU
RNAcentral lists this long non-coding RNA (1354 nucleotides) under Brassica napus (rape). Its description in RNAcentral is "long non-coding RNA (BNAP_LNC007737)". The record is from RNAcentral. Lineage: Eukaryota; Viridiplantae; Streptophyta; Magnoliopsida; Brassicales; Brassicaceae.